CCUACGGGAGGCAGCAGUGAGGAAUAUUGGUCAAUGGGCGUAAGCCUGAACCAGCCAAGUCGCGUGAGGGAUGAAGGCUCUAUGGAUCGUAAACCUCUUUUAUAAGGGAAUAAAGUGCGGGACGUGUCCCGUUUUGUAUGUACCUUAUGAAUAAGGAUCGGCUAACUCCGUGCCAGCAGCCGCGGUAAUACGGAGGAUCCGAGCGUUAUCCGGAUUUAUUGGGUUUAAAGGGUGCGUAGGCGGCCUUUUAAGUCAGCGGGGAAAGUUUGGGGCUCAACCAUAGAAUUGCGGUUGAAACUGGGAGGCUUGAGUAUGUUUGAGGCAGGCGGAAUGCGUGGUGUAGCGGUGAAAUGCUUAGAUAUCACGCAGAACCCCGAUUGCGAAGGCAGCCUGCCAAGCCAUGACUGACGCUGAUGCACGAAAGCGUGGGGAUCAAACAGGAUUAGAUACCCCAGUAGUC
Molecule: ribosomal RNA, 460 nt
Filed under: uncultured bacterium
Lineage: Bacteria
Description: partial 16S ribosomal RNA
Rfam family: Bacterial small subunit ribosomal RNA
Source: RNAcentral